Molecule: long non-coding RNA, 6103 nt
Filed under: Capsicum annuum
Lineage: Eukaryota; Viridiplantae; Streptophyta; Magnoliopsida; Solanales; Solanaceae
Description: long non-coding RNA (CANN_LNC003655)
Source: RNAcentral
UGUAACUAACCAACUAAUCUAUUACGAUUUUCUUUCCAUCUGUAAUACAUAUUUUUACGUAAACUAUACUUAUUUUGAUUCGUUUUGUACUUUAUUAGCGUCCUUUUAAAAAAUCUUCAAAUUAGUAAUACUUAAUAAUUUUUAUCCAUAAGCAUACCGGCAAAACGUAUCUCUCUCAGUUUAGCAUCUUCAUCUUCUUCCUCUGUAUCAUCUGUUGGGUUUCGAAUCGUAGAUGUAGUUGGCUGAUUCUGAAAUUACAGCUGGAAUUCAAGGGUAAAAAUCGAUCGGAGCAUAAAGUAUUGUGAUCGGUUUAGGGGAAGAUGAUAACAAGGUCAAAACUGGUAGAGCAGCUAAGAGAUUAUCAGAUCCGAUCUCAACACAAGUGCCCUCCUCUUACUUUCUUUUCCCCAAAUCUUCAUCUAUCCAAUUGGUACCUCUCCAUUUCUAUCUAUGUAAUAUCAAUUUAGGCUUUUAUGGUUUUUUUUUUUUUAUUAAACUUAUUUCUGUCCAUGAGUUAUUUGUACUGACUUAUGAUUUUGCGAUGCAUUUAGAGGUCGUUUGGUAGCUGGUUAGAAUCAUGCAGUUAUUGGUAAUUGUAAAUGUAUCAGGUCAGCUCAAUUUGACCAGCUCAAAUUUAGCCCAAUCUGCACAUUUAACACCUCUCGCAAACCAUUGCCCUGGACUAAUUGAAUAUUUAGGAAUAAUUCCUCUUUGUGCUUGCAUAUACGUUUCCAUAAUCCUACUCCUGGAAGCCUAGACAGUUUGGUCUUGUGAGUUUACUUCCAUAGCCAUUUGAUGAGAAGGAUCUUGUUGUGGAGAACCAGGUCCUUUAUUCCCGUCCCCCUCAGUUGUUUGGGUAAAAGGACUUUGGGCCGCUUUAUGCAGCGAAAUUGAUGCUCAUCGCUAUUCCCCUCCCACAAGAAGUUCCUUCUAAUCUUAUCAAGUUGCUUCAGGACUUUGAUAGAGACAUGUAGUAUGUAGGAAUACUGUACACGGUUGAUCAAUGCCAAUCUUCCACCCAUUAAUAGGUACUGCACUUGCCAAGAAGCUAAUCUCUUUUCAAACUUUUCAAUCACACCAUUCCAUAUACUUGUAGCUUUAUAUUUUGCACCCACUGGUAGACCCAAAUAGGUUGUAGGAAAAGAGCUGAUGCUGCAACCAAGUAUUCCUGCUAGUUCUUCCGGAUUUGGUACUACAUUAUCAGGUUAAAUAACACUUUUUAGCAUGUUGAUGUGAAGUCCUAAUGGUGCUUCAAAAAUGAGCAAUAUUAAAUUUAGGUAAAGGGUCUGUAAUCUGUUUUCACCACAAAAGAUUAGAAUAUCAUCAACAUACAAUAAGUGUGACGAGUUUACAGUGCUCCUUGCCCCGGCCUCUCUGUUUAGCUUUAUCCAGCAUCCUACCCAGCUCUUCCAUUGCUGGUAUGAAGAGGAAACGUGAUAGGCGUUUCCCUGGCGUCGGUCCUUUUGUGGGUAAAAAAGCCACAGGGCUUCUAUUCAUCAGAACCGAGUAUUUCACUGUGGUAACAAUGAACAUGGGCCACUUGAUCCAUUUCUCCCCAAAACUCAUCUAUCGUAACAUUGAGAAUAGGUAUAACCAAUUUAGUUGGUCAAAGGUCUUCUCAAUGUCUAGUUUACAAAGAAAUGCAAUGUCACGACCCGAGUUGUGGCCUUGACCGCUACGGGCAUCCAGAACCAUCAAGGUCCAAGAGACCCCUUUAACGGCCCAACCCACUAGUGAUAUUGUCCGCACGGCUUUAAAACGCGUCACUAGAGAGUAAGACUUGCUUACUUAUAUACCCAGCAUCCCUUUUGUGUCUUGCGGAUGUGGGAUUCCUUAUCCUAAGUUGGGGUCGUUGAGGUUUGCCCCCACCGAAUAGGAUUUGCCUAGACUUAGGACUGAGUUUUGGCCUUGAACUCUGGCCCACGUCAACAGGGCUGACAUAGGAGUGGUUCUGAUACCAUUCUUGUCACGACCCGAGCCGAGACCCUGACCGCGACGGGCAUCCCGAACCAUCAAGGCCCAAGAGACCCCUGUAACGGCCCAACCCACUAUUGAUAUUGUAAUGACCCUUACAGUCAUUUUCCUGUAUUUUCAUAUAAUUUUAGUACUAUUUAAAUGUAUUGUGGAUUAUUUAAUUUAAUUUGGCAUUUGGUAGAAAUAUAAUUUAGUACCCUUCUAGAAUAUUUUCGAUAUUGGUAAAAUUCUGUAAGUGAUGAUAUAUUUAUAUCACUUUAUAAUAGACUUUUAUGAUUUAUUAAUAUUUUAAGCGGAGAUAGUAAUUUUAGAAAUGUUAAAGUAUUAUUAUUAUUAUAUAAUAAAGAUUUUUUAAGAAAUAUUUUUUUACUAAUUAUGGUAUAUUCAAAAUAUUAUAAUUAUUUUAUCAUGAAUUUAUACAAUACCCAAAUAUGUGCGCAGUGUAGAAAAAUUGUUACUUGUGGUCAAUAACACCACACGUGGAAAUGGGAAUGGUGGACCAUAAGGUUGCUUCCACUUGUCUUCAACUUUAGGCUAACUUUACUUAUAUAUAUAUAGUAACAUUUGACCCUUUUAAAGUUAAAAAAAAGGGUGAACCAUCCACUAUCCAUCCACUGUAGGUAUAUAUAUAUUCACGAUAGGUUUUGCGGAAAGGGUGAACCAUCCACUAUCCAUCGUUGUGGAAAAUAAUUUUUCUUGAUGUUAUUUAAGCUCGGACUCUAGCAAGACUUUAUUCGGAGGCUUUGCGGAAAGAUAUGUUAGCUUUGGCGUCUAGGUAGGCUAGGUUUACCCUACCUUUAGAUUGAGCUUAUUUACUGAAAUUGUAAACUAUUAUGCUAGCUUUGGAUAAGUGUCUGUAGAUGCAUAUUAUUUGAUUUAUAUAAAUUGUCUUAUUUAUCCGGAUUAGGACCCCGUUCUAGUAAAUAUUGAAAUAUUAUCUUUUAAUAUAAUAUAGCAUCUAUUACUUUAGGACGUGAAACUAAAUUUGCAAAUCUUGAAUUUAUCCCUUUUAAUUAAGAUUAGCGGAUGAUUAUUUAGACGUUGACAUUGUCAUGGUAUGGAUUUUAAUAUUACCAUUGGGUAUUGUUACUAUGAGUUCCAGUUCGAGUCCGGCAUUUGAUUAUUAUUGUUACUAUGAGUUCUGGUUCGAGUCUGACAUUUGAUUAUUAUUGUUACUAUGAGUUCCGGUUCGAGUCCAGCAUCUGAUUAUGGUUGUGGUUCCUCUGAGUUCCGGUUUGAGUCCGGCAUCUGAUUAUGAGUUCUAUAUAUAUGUGGCCUAUUGUUAUUAUCAACUAUGUCCGGUUCCAAUCCAGCACGUGUCCUCUUGUUAUUACCCAUUGGUUCCGGUUUAAGUCUGGUGCACAUCUGGAUGACUAUUACGAUUUAUUGGGAUCAGCGCAGUUAUGGAUUAUGUAUGUUUAUUUUCAUUACUUGUGUGUCCCACCGGCUUAUUGGGGUACGGUUAGGUUAAUUGUCUUCUUCAGUGUGCCUAGCGGGCUUAUGGGGGCCCAGUUAGGUUACGUUUGAUUUGUUUGUUAUACUGCAUUAUUAUUUUUUUUGUAUCGCUUACGUUUAUUCCUUUACAGCCGUUGCGUAGCUUGGUAGUUGUUAACCUUUCCAUCCCUAUUUACUGAUGACUCAGAUUACGCCUUCGCAUUGUAGUUAUACCUUUUCUGUAUUGAGCUUAUUCGACCGAUGAUGCCUACUGAGUACCCGUUGCUUUGGUACUCAUACUAAACUUCUGCAUUUUUUUCCUGAUGCAGAUCCGGGUACUAGCAGUCGACGUGAUUUCUACCUUUCAGUACUGAUUCAGAGCAGGGUGAGCUUGCUGUCGUCCGAGGAUGAUCCUCCUCUAUCUACUCUAGUUAGUCUUUUGCACUCGAGACUGCUUGUGUAUAUUGUGUACAUUUUAGAUUUUUGUCUAGUACUUGGGUACCUGUUAGUAGUGGCUCUAGUACUGACCUUAUCGGGUCUUGGGAGGGAUUCAUUUGUAUAGUUGGUCCUUUUUCCUCCUCUCGUUUUAAUAUAAUAUAUAUGCUCCCUUCUUAGCUUUCAAUUAUUAUUGUUGUAGUUAUCAUUAUACAUGAUCUUUUAUUUGAUCUCUGCCGGUUAGCCCGUUACCUAUCAUUCCAGACUAUGGCUUGGCUUGCCUACUGGUUGGUUAAAGUAGGCGCCAUCACGACUUGAGAAAUCGAGUCGUGACAGCUUGGCAUCAGAACCUAGGUCUUACUAGUAUUGUUAGUACUAGAGCCGAUGUUUAGUAGAGUCCCACGGAUCGGUACGGAGACGUUUGUAUCCUAUCCUUGGGAGGUUACCGAGCAUUUUUAGGGAAAAAUCUCAUUUUCUUGAUCCAUUUUUGUGCGUAGUAGGUCUGGGUUGGUUGUAACUCUUUUUAUUGGCUCAUUCUCUACGCAGAUGGAUAGGACGCGAGGUUCGAGAGCAGGGGGUCGAGGCCCCAAGUCCGCUUCUAGAGUUCUAGCUUGGGGUCGACCCAGAUAUCAGGGGCAGGGUAGAGCAGCAAUCCCUUUUCGAGAUCAGGCCAGGGAUCCAUCACCUGUUAUAGCUCCGGGGAUUGAGAGAGCUCCAGGUAUUCCGCCACAUCAGCAGGUGGGCCAAGGGAAAGCCCAGGCUCCACCCGGCUUUAUAUCUUCUUCGGGGUGUAUUGGUACAGUUAUUAGGGUUAGUUGGCGGUCCACCAGUCGUGGGAGCUCAGCCAGCAGCACAGGGUAGUGUUGAUUUAGGGGCACAGCCUGCGGCAGCGACGUGUAGGGUAGAGAUUCCACCAGCACCAGUAGUCCUACAGCUGGCAGUAGCCCAGCCAGUUAUGUCUGUAGAGGAGCAGAAGAUGUUGGAUCGAUUGACUCCACCCAGGUUUGCCGGGACCCCGUGAAAGGAUGCUCACGAGUUCCUAUCCAGUUGCGAUGUGGCGGAAUACCUGGAGCUCUCUCAAUCCCCGGAGCUAUAACAGGUGAUGGAUCCCUGGCCUGAUCUUGAACAGGGGUUGCUGCUCUACCCUGCCCCUGCCCCUGAUAUCUGGGUCGACCCCAAGCUAAAACUCUAGAAGCGGACCCGGGGCCUCGACCUCCUGCUCUCGAACCUCGCGUCCUAUCCAUUUGCGUAGAGAGUGAGCCAAUAAAAAUAGUUACAAAUAACCCAGACCUACACACAAAAAUGGAUCAAGAAAAUGAGAUUUUUCCCUAAAAAUGCUCGGUAACCUCCCAAGGAUAGGAUACAGACGUCUCCGUACCGAUCCAUAGGACUCUACUAAACAUCGGCUCUAGUACUAACAAUACCAGUAAGACCUAGGCUCUGAUAGCAAGCUGUCACGACCCGAUUUCUCAAGUCGUGAUGGCGCCUACUUUAACCCACCAGUAGGCAAGCUAUAGUCCGGAAUGAUAGGUAACGGGCUAACCGACAGAGACCAAAUAAAAGAUCAUAUAUAAUGAUAACAAUAAUAAUUGAAAACUAAGAAGGGAGCAUAUAUACUCAUUUUCUUGAUCCAUUUUUGUGCGUAGUAGGUCUGGGUUGGUUGUAACUCUUUUUAUUGGCUCAUUCUCUACGCAGAUGGAUAGGACGCGAGGUUCGAGAGCAGGGGGUCGAGGCCCCAAGUCCGCUUCUAGAGUUCUAGCUUGGGGUCGACCCAGAUAUCAGGGGCAGGGUAGAGCAGCAAUCCCUUUUCGAGAUCAGGCCAGGGAUCCAUCACCUGUUAUAGCUCCGGGGAUUGAGAGAGCUCCAGGUAUUCCGCCACAUCAGCAGGUGGGCCAAGGGAAAGCCCAGGCUCCACCCGGCUUUAUAUCUUCUUCGGGGUGUAUUGGUACAGUUAUUAGGGUUAGUUGGCGGUCCACCAGUCGUGGGAGCUCAGCCAGCAGCACAGGGUAGUGUUGAUUUAGGGGCACAGCCUGCGGCAGCGACGUGUAGGGUAGAGAUUCCACCAGCACCAGUAGUCCUACAGCUGGCAGUAGCCCAGCCAGUUAUGUCUGUAGAGGAGCAGAAGAUGUUGGAUCGAUUGACUCCACCCAGGUUUGCCGGGACCCCGUGAAAGGAUGCUCACGAGUUCCUAUCCAGUUGCGAUGUGGCGGAAUACCUGGAGCUCUCUCAAUCCCCGGAGCUAUAACAGGUGAUGGAUCCC